This is a long non-coding RNA of Clupea harengus (Atlantic herring), 373 nucleotides long. NCBI's taxonomy places the organism in Eukaryota, Metazoa, Chordata, Actinopteri, Clupeiformes, Clupeidae. The record is from Ensembl.
ACAAGCAUGUUGUACAAACCUCAGUGACACUUGGGUCGUUAGUCAGCACUGUAUUACCAUAACAAGUGACCGGAGAAGAAAGAGAGGAAAGAACAAGUGACCGGAGAAGAAAGAGAGGAAGAAGAAAGAGAGGAAGAAGAAAGAGAGGAAGAAGAGAGAGAGGAAAGCCAAAAAUAGAUGUGAGAAAAGAGGAACAGACUUGUGGUGGGGGGAAGGGUUGAUUUAGACCAGGGGAAUGAGUGAAAGAUGGAGAGAUAGAGAGAUAGAGAGAUGGAGAGAUGGAGAGAUGGAGAGAUAGAGAGAUAGAGAGAUAUAGAGAUGGAGAGGUGGAGAGAUGCAGAGAUGGAGAGGUGGAGAGAUGGAGAGAGAGAGA